GGCAAAUGUUUAACUGGACUCAUUGGAGUAUGGGAACAGCUGCUAGAAUAAUAGCAGUGGCAGCGAUGUUCCUGGGAAUGGAUUUACCAGGACUGAAUCUUCCUGAUUCAUGGAAAACCUAUGCAAUGACCGGAUUCGUAGCCUGGCAUGUUGGGACUGAGGUUGUUCUGGAGGUACAUGCUUAUCGGCUCUCUCGCAAAGUUGAAAUAUUGGAUGAUGACAGAAUUCAGAUCCUUCAGUCAUUUACUGCAGUGG
Molecule: long non-coding RNA, 255 nt
Filed under: Homo sapiens (human)
Lineage: Eukaryota; Metazoa; Chordata; Mammalia; Primates; Hominidae
Description: HSALNT0011396
Source: RNAcentral